CUGCGUUAGCCUCAGCAUGACUGAGUUCUGGGUCUGUUUCAGCUGCUGCAUCGCAGAGCAGCCACAGCCAAAGAGACGGCGACGAAUAGAUCGCUCCAUGAUUGGGGAGCCAACAAACUUUGUCCACACCACACAUGUGGAUACUGUUCAGGCCCAGAUGAAAUCUAAGGGUGGCUAUGGACAUGGGGGUUCUGAAGGCCCUCAAUUAUAACAAGAACAAUUUGGAAAUCCAACUACUGAUGUCAAUUUGAAGAGGCGUUUUAUAAUGCAGUUUCACCUGAAACGGACACAGGACCUAAGUAUCAUACCACUGCUCUUCCAGGAAAUUGUAUAUAAUUUAAUUGUUAUAAAAACACUGCUAUUCAUUGUCUGCCAUGCUGUUGCACUGCAAGAGUAGAUUGGGAUGGGUUAGUAGAUCAAUUUCUUAGUCAUUGAAUGCUUGUGCGUAUGAUGAAAAAUGUUCAGGCGUGUUUGCUGUUUUUUUAGACCUCGUGGAUGCCUGUAUUUAUUAUGUGAUUUGUGGAAAUAUGACUGUGUGGCUGGGCCACACUGGAGAUCUCAAGAUAUGAGUCAUAGUAUAGAAAUAUCUGGUUCUUACCCAAAUCUCAAAGGCUCUUAAAAUGAUUUAAAGUAUUUAGGCAACAAGUCAAUGUUCUAAGUUUCAUUCUAAAAUCACCUCUGAUUCAGGAGACUAUUUUUAAGUAAAGAAUGCUGUUUUCUAAAUGAACUUGAAACAUGUAGGGCA
This is a long non-coding RNA of Osmerus eperlanus (European smelt), 745 nucleotides long. RefSeq lists it as uncharacterized. The transcript has 4 exons. NCBI's taxonomy places the organism in Eukaryota, Metazoa, Chordata, Actinopteri, Osmeriformes, Osmeridae. The record is from RefSeq and is a predicted model, not a curated record.